RNAcentral lists this long non-coding RNA (249 nucleotides) under Mytilus galloprovincialis (Mediterranean mussel). Lineage: Eukaryota; Metazoa; Mollusca; Bivalvia; Mytilida; Mytilidae. The record is from RNAcentral.
AAAAACUUAACUUUGACCACUGAACCAUGAAAAUGAGGUCAAGGUCAGAUGACAUCUGCCCGCUAGACAUGUACACCUUACAAUCAUUCCAUACAACAGAUAUAGUAGACCUAUUGCAUAAAGUAUGAGAAAAACAGACCAAAACACAAAAACUUAACUAUAACCACUGAACCAUGAAAAUGAGGUCAAGGUCAGAUGACACCUGCCAGUUGGACAUGUACACCUUCCAUACACCAAAUAUACUAGCCC